This 734-nucleotide ribosomal RNA is filed under the name uncultured Kribbella sp. RNAcentral describes it as "bacterial SSU rRNA". It matches the Rfam family "Bacterial small subunit ribosomal RNA", at positions 8 to 758 of the family's 1533-position model. Lineage: Bacteria; Bacillati; Actinomycetota; Actinomycetes; Propionibacteriales; Kribbellaceae. The record is from RNAcentral.
AGAGUUUGAUCCUGGCUCAGGACGAACGCUGGCGGCGUGCUUAACACAUGCAAGUCGAGCGGUAAGGCCCCUUCGGGGGUACACGAGCGGCGAACGGGUGAGUAACACGUGAGCAACCUACCCUCAACUUCGGGAUAAGCCUCGGAAACGGGGUCUAAUACCGGAUAUCACUCCCUGUCUCAUGGUGGGGGGUUGAAAGUUCUGGCGGUUGGGGAUGGGCUCGCGGCCUAUCAGCUUGUUGGUGGGGUAAUGGCCUACCAAGGCGUCGACGGGUAGCCGGCCUGAGAGGGCGACCGGCCACACUGGGACUGAGACACGGCCCAGACUCCUACGGGAGGCAGCAGUGGGGAAUAUUGCGCAAUGGACGAAAGUCUGACGCAGCAACGCCGCGUGAGGGAUGACGGCCUUCGGGUUGUAAACCUCUUUCAGCAGGGACGAAGCUAGCGUGACGGUACCUGCAGAAGAAGGACCGGCCAACUACGUGCCAGCAGCCGCGGAAUACGUAGGGUCCGAGCGUUGUCCGGAAUUAUUGGGCGUAAAGGGCUCGUAGGCGGUUCGUCGCGUCGGGAGUGAAAACUCGGAGCUUAACUCCGAGCCUGCUUCCGAUACGGGCGGACUGGAGGUAGGCAGGGGAGAGCGGAACUCCUGGUGUAGCGGUGGAACGCGCAGAUAUCAGGAAGAACACCGGUGGCGAAGGCGGCUCUCUGGGCCUUACCUGACGCUGAGGAGCGAAA